Spea bombifrons (plains spadefoot toad) is the source of this 641-nucleotide long non-coding RNA. RefSeq lists it as uncharacterized. The record is from RefSeq and is a predicted model, not a curated record. NCBI's taxonomy places the organism in Eukaryota, Metazoa, Chordata, Amphibia, Anura, Pelobatidae. The transcript is spliced from 2 exons.
CAAACGGUAAAUGCUGCCCAUCCUGUUUUAAAGAAAACUUUAAAGGCGAAUGCAUUUCUACAGAGAUGAUGCAAUGCCGCGGGAAUCAAAAUAAAUGCUUUGAAUAUCAAGGAACGGUGGAGAAAGCAGAUUUGAGCGUCUGGGAUUACAGUAUGAAGGGCUGCAUUAGUGAUCUGGGAUGUAGUCUGAUGUUUGACGCAUUGCCCAGGACCAAGGAGGUGGAAGAAAGAGUAUUCGAAUGUACCGAACCAUUACCUAGCACCGAGUGCGCCAAGGAUUAAUUCUCGCUAUUGUCCACAAUUCCAUGAAGUAUGGCCAUCUGUAACAUGAAAAAUGUGUGGCUUUUGCAUUAAAAUUUGAUCAGGGAAAAAAAAUCUCAUUCCUUCAACACACUUCAAAAUAAUUGAUUUAAUGAUUUCUAAUAAAAAUGUUCCUCAUGCAUGCGCACUUACUGCGGUUCUUACUGUUUGUUGACAAUCUCUCAUUCUUCCACAGCAGAGAUGCAGGAAGGCAAUUGGCAAAAAAUAUACAUCACUCUGAUUACGUACAUACUUUUAAUAAAAAUACGAUUCUUGUUACUAUUUGCUUGCUCUUGUAUCCUCUCUGACCAAUUAAUAAAUAAAUCUUAGUAACCUAGAAAA